UACGUAGGGUGCAAGCGUUAAUCGGAAUUACUGGGCGUAAAGAGCGCGCAGGCGGUCGUUCAAGUCGCGUGUGAAAGCCCCCGGCUCAACUGGGGAGGGUCAUUCGAUACUGCUCGGCUCGAAGACAGGAGAGGGAAGUGGAAUUCCCGGUGUAGUGGUGAAAUGCGUAGAUAUCGGGAGGAACACCAGUGGCGAAGGCGACUUUCUGGCCUGUUCUUGACGCUGAGGCGCGAAAGCUAGGGGAGCAAACGGG
This 253-nucleotide ribosomal RNA is filed under the name uncultured bacterium. RNAcentral's name for it is "partial 16S ribosomal RNA". It matches the Rfam family "Bacterial small subunit ribosomal RNA", at positions 524 to 776 of the family's 1533-position model. The record is from RNAcentral.